RNAcentral lists this ribosomal RNA (506 nucleotides) under uncultured bacterium. RNAcentral describes it as "partial 16S ribosomal RNA". It matches the Rfam family "Bacterial small subunit ribosomal RNA", at positions 30 to 523 of the family's 1533-position model. The record is from RNAcentral.
AUUGAACGCUGGCGGCAGGCCUAACACAUGCAAGUCGAGCGGUAGCACAGAAGAGCUUGCUCUUUGGGUGACGAGCGGCGGACGGGUGAGUAAUGUCAGGGAAACUGCCUGAUGGAGGGGGAUAACUACUGGAAACGGUAGCUAAUACCGCAUAACCUCGCAAGAGCAAAGAGGGGGACCUUCGGGCCUCUCGCCAUCAGAUGUGCCCAGAUGGGAUUAGCUAGUAAGUGAGGUAAUGGCUCACCUAGGCGACGAUCCCUAGCUGGUCUGAGAGGAUGACCAGCCACACUGGAACUGGGACACGGUCCAGACUCCUACGGGAGGCAGCAGUGGGGAAUAUUGCACAAUGGGCGCAAGCCUGAUGCAGCCAUGCCGCGUGUGUGAAGAAGGCCUUCGGGUUGUAAAGCACUUUCAGCGGGGAGGAAGGCGGUAAGGUUAAUAACCUUAUCGAUUGACGUUACCCGCAGAAGAAGCACCGGCUAACUCCGUGCCAGCAGCCGCCGCCG